This 24-nucleotide non-coding RNA is filed under the name Arabidopsis thaliana (thale cress). The record is from RNAcentral. Lineage: Eukaryota; Viridiplantae; Streptophyta; Magnoliopsida; Brassicales; Brassicaceae.
UUUGUUGCCGCAGACGCUGCCGCA